Molecule: ribosomal RNA, 253 nt
Filed under: uncultured bacterium
Lineage: Bacteria
Description: partial 16S ribosomal RNA
Rfam family: Bacterial small subunit ribosomal RNA
Source: RNAcentral
UACAGAGGUCUCAAGCGUUGUUCGGAUUCAUUGGGCGUAAAGGGUGCGUAGGCGGCGCGGUAAGUCGGGUGUGAAAUCUCGGGGCUUAACUCCGAAACUGCAUUCGAUACUGCCGUGCUUGAGGACUGGAGAGGAGACUGGAAUUUACGGUGUAGCGGUGAAAUGCGCAGAUAUCAGGAGGAACACCGGUGGCGAAGGCGGGUCUCUGGGCCGAUACUGACGCUGAGGAGCGAAAGCGUGGGGAGCGAACAGG